Molecule: small nucleolar RNA, 73 nt
Organism: Hemibagrus wyckioides
Lineage: Eukaryota; Metazoa; Chordata; Actinopteri; Siluriformes; Bagridae
Product: small nucleolar RNA SNORD2
Exons: 1
Source: RefSeq, a predicted model, not a curated record
GUAUGAAAUGAUGGCAUACCAUCUUUCGGGACUGACCGUAAUGGAGACACUCUUCUCAAUUUACUGAUCGUAC